GCGCCCGUAGCUCAACGGAUAGAGCGCCUGGCUUCGGACCAGGAGGUUGUGGGUUCGAAUCCUGCCGGGCGCG
This 73-nucleotide transfer RNA is filed under the name Candidatus Niyogiibacteriota bacterium. RNAcentral describes it as "Candidatus Niyogibacteria bacterium tRNA-Arg". It matches the Rfam family "tRNA". From Rfam's summary of the family: Transfer RNA (tRNA) molecules are approximately 80 nucleotides in length. The record is from RNAcentral. Lineage: Bacteria; Candidatus Niyogiibacteriota.